Molecule: transfer RNA, 72 nt
Filed under: Caudoviricetes sp.
Lineage: Duplodnaviria; Heunggongvirae; Uroviricota; Caudoviricetes
Description: tRNA-Val
Rfam family: tRNA
About the family: Transfer RNA (tRNA) molecules are approximately 80 nucleotides in length. Their secondary structure includes four short double-helical elements and three loops (D, anti-codon, and T loops).
Source: RNAcentral
CGGAAUGUAGUUUAAGGGAAAAACAUAUGGCUUUACAGGCUGUAUACCCUGGUUCGACCCCAGGUGUUCCGA